AGUGAACGCUGGCGGUAGGCCUAACACAUGCAAGUCGAACGGCAGCACAGUAAGAGCUUGCUCUUACGGGUGGCGAGUGGCGGACGGGUGAGGAAUACAUCGGCAUCUACUUUUUCGUGGGGGAUAACGUAGGGAAACUUACGCUAAUACCGCAUACGACCUACGGGUGAAAGCAGGGGAUAUUCGGACCUUGCGCGAUUGAAUGAGCCGAUGUCGGAUUAGCUAGUUGGCGGGGUAAAGGCCCACCAAGGCGACGAUCCGUAGCUGGUCUGAGAGGAUGAUCAGCCACACUGGAACUGAGACACGGUCCAGACUCCUACGGGAGGCAGCAGUGGGGAAUAUUGGACAAUGGGCGCAAGCCUGAUCCAGCCAUACCGCGUGGGUGAAGAAGGCCUUCGGGUUGUAAAGCCCUUUUGUUGGGAAAGAAAAGCAGCAGGUUAAUACCCCGCUGUUCUGACGGUACCCAAAGAAUAAGCACCGGCUAACUUCGUG
RNAcentral lists this ribosomal RNA (492 nucleotides) under uncultured bacterium. RNAcentral's name for it is "partial 16S ribosomal RNA". It matches the Rfam family "Bacterial small subunit ribosomal RNA", at positions 29 to 507 of the family's 1533-position model. The record is from RNAcentral.